GACGAACCGAGCGAACGUUAUUCGGAAUCACUGGGCUUAAAGGGCGCGUAGGCGGGCCGUCAAGUCGAGGGUGAAAUCCCCCAGCUCAACUGGGGAAGUGCCUCCGAUACUGGCGGCCUCGAGGGGGAUAGGGGCAUGCGGAACUUCCGGUGGAGCGGUGAAAUGCGUAGAGAUUAGGAAGAACACCAGUGGCGAAGGCGACUUACUGGACUGUAACUGACGCUGAGGCAUGAAAGCGUGGGGAGCAAACAGG
Molecule: ribosomal RNA, 253 nt
Filed under: uncultured bacterium
Lineage: Bacteria
Description: partial 16S ribosomal RNA
Rfam family: Bacterial small subunit ribosomal RNA
Source: RNAcentral